GCAGUCGACGCUGAAAGCCUGGUGCUUGCACCGGGUGGAUGAGUGGCGAACGGGUGAGUAACACGUGAGUAACCUGCCCCUGACUUCGGGAUAAGCCCGGGAAACUGGGUCUAAUACCGGAUACGACUGCCGGACGCAUGUCUGGUGGUGGAAAGUUUUUUCGGUUGGGGAUGGGCUCGCGGCCUAUCAGUUUGUUGGUGAGGUAAUGGCUCACCAAGACGACGACGGGUAGCCGGCCUGAGAGGGCGACCGGCCACACUGGGACUGAGACACGGCCCAGACUCCUACGGGAGGCAGCAGUGGGGAAUAUUGCACAAUGGGGGAAACCCUGAUGCAGCGACGCAGCGUGCGGGAUGACGGCCUUCGGGUUGUAAACCGCUUUCAGCAGGGAAGAAGCGCAAGUGACGGUACCUGCAGAAGAAGUACCGGCUAACUACGUGCCAGCAGCCGCGGUAAUACGUAGGGUACGAGCGUUGUCCGGAAUUAUUGGGCGUAAAGAGCUCGUAGGUGGUUGGUCACGUCUGCUGUGGAAACGCAACGCUUAACGUUGCGCGUGCAGUGGGUACGGGCUGACUAGAGUGCAGUAGGGGAGUCUGGAAUUCCUGGUGUAGCGGUGAAAUGCGCAGAUAUCAGGAGGAACACCGGUGGCGAAGGCGGGACUCUGGGCUGUAACUGACACUGAGGAGCGAAAGCAUGGGGAGCGAACAGGAUUAGAUACCCUGGUAGUCCAUGCCGUAAACGUUGGGCACUAGGUGUGGGGGGCAUUCCACGUUCUCCGCGCCGUAGCUAACGCAUUAAGUGCCCCGCCUGGGGAGUACGGUCGCAAGGCUAAAACUCAAAGGAAUUGACGGGGGCCCGCACAAGCGGCGGAGCAUGCGGAUUAAUUCGAUGCAACGCGAAGAACCUUACCAAGGCUUGACAUACACCGGACCGUCCUGGAAACAGGUCCUCUUCUUUGAAGCUGGUGUACAGGUGGUGCAUGGUUGUCGUCAGCUCGUGUCGUGAGAUGUUGGGGUUAAGUCCCGCAACGAGCGCAACCCUCGUUCUAUGUUGCCAGCAUGUGGAUGGUGGGAACUCAUAGG
This 1082-nucleotide ribosomal RNA is filed under the name uncultured bacterium. RNAcentral's name for it is "bacterial SSU rRNA". It matches the Rfam family "Bacterial small subunit ribosomal RNA", at positions 57 to 1145 of the family's 1533-position model. The record is from RNAcentral.